CGAAGCUGCUAAAACCUGAGCAAGAGGGUGAACACAAUCAGAGCCAAAAAAAAGUGCUUAAACAUGGCAAAGUCAAUGAGAUCGAAGAGAGAGAAGCGGCUAAGAGCCAUAAGGAGAGAUCUGGUAGAGCCCUUUUAUGACAAAAAAGAUGCAGCCAAGCUCGCUGCUCAAGAAGCUGCUCUUGCUGCUCCAAAGUUGCCCGUAAAACCUUCUCCUUUCGCUUCUACUUCUUCAGCCAUGGACACGACCACGACUGCAACUACUAUCUCAAAUACCAACAUCGAUGUGGAAAUGGCUGAUGACAGUCGAACUAGGAGUACAUUGAAGCCUAUAGGGAAGAAGCUAAAGAAGAAAUUCAAACUGGCAAAGAACAAGCGCCGCGGUAAGGGGAAGAUCAGGAGGAAGCAUAUUUAACUCUGUAAACUGAUAAGGAUCAUGUGUUCAAGUUCUGAUAUUUGUUUGCCAGGUGAAAUGACAGUUUUAUGUUUGAGACUGUUCUGUUACAUUCUGAUAUUCUGAUGCCUUAAUGAUAUCUUCAAUC
This 541-nucleotide unclassified non-coding RNA is filed under the name Hevea brasiliensis (rubber tree). The record is from RNAcentral. Lineage: Eukaryota; Viridiplantae; Streptophyta; Magnoliopsida; Malpighiales; Euphorbiaceae.